AACAAAAUAGCCAUUACAGAUCGACAAAUACAGAGUUGAAUGUUCUAAUUGUGUGGAAAUUUAAUCGAGUAUCAAAAUGUACAAUUGACUAGUUUGUGCUUAGUUAUUUUUGACCGAGUUGAUAUACCUUAUUAAAACGAUUCCUUUAUUUUCAGCUCCUCCUAUAUCCUUUAGCGGUACACCACAUGAUAUGCCAUUUAUACCUUCAUUCGAUCCUUUAUCUGAUGAAAGAUCUUUGGCUUUUCGAUGCGAAGCCUCAAUACCAUCAGACUAUCAUAGAUACGUUUUUGACAUAACCUGGUUUAUUAAUCAGAAUAAAAUCGUCGAUAAGUACAAUAUCACAUAUAGUAAGCUAGUGACCGACGGAGUUCUUCACCAAAAAGACUGGGAUUCACAUCCAAACGGAACUAAAGUUCUCGGAUUUUGGUUA
This 430-nucleotide long non-coding RNA is filed under the name Mytilus galloprovincialis (Mediterranean mussel). Lineage: Eukaryota; Metazoa; Mollusca; Bivalvia; Mytilida; Mytilidae. The record is from RNAcentral.